This 254-nucleotide long non-coding RNA is filed under the name Elaeis guineensis (African oil palm). RNAcentral's name for it is "long non-coding RNA (EGUI_LNC061577)". Lineage: Eukaryota; Viridiplantae; Streptophyta; Magnoliopsida; Arecales; Arecaceae. The record is from RNAcentral.
GCCUCUAACAUGUCCACCUGUUGUCCUUGACACGAGCCGGAUAUCCCCAAAUCUUAAAAUAACCAAGAUUUAGUUUCUCACCAUGCCAUAUCCCAUAUGGUGUGGUAGGAAUGGAUAUAGAGGGAACCCUAUUCAAUAGGUAAAUUUAAAAAAAAAAAAUAUGUCCCUAAAGAAAUAAAGAUAAAUCAGUAAAGUCCAUUAUGGAUCGGAUCAUAUUUCAUAUAGUCCCAUUCCUCCUCUUAAAUACCUCAUUG